This 249-nucleotide long non-coding RNA is filed under the name Elaeis guineensis (African oil palm). RNAcentral describes it as "long non-coding RNA (EGUI_LNC034157)". The record is from RNAcentral. Lineage: Eukaryota; Viridiplantae; Streptophyta; Magnoliopsida; Arecales; Arecaceae.
AUAAUAGGUCUAAUAGUUUAGAUGAUCAUUAGAGGUGCCACAUGCCUCGUGCUCAUCUGGCUGUCAGAAUUAUCAUUCAUAAUAUGUUGAUUUAGUUGUAUCUUUCUGAUAAUAGUCAGAUUGAUCGAGCCACACUCGGAUCUGAUCACUUAUUUAUCAGAUACACUAAAUUCUGAUAUAUUAAUGGUUGGACCUAAUCAGAACUUUCAGUAGAGGUGCCACAUAUCUGUUGAAAAGGCAUCUGGGGCA